Molecule: long non-coding RNA, 1685 nt
Filed under: Mus musculus (house mouse)
Lineage: Eukaryota; Metazoa; Chordata; Mammalia; Rodentia; Muridae
Description: long non-coding RNA chr3:103802884-103804569
Source: RNAcentral
GGACUUCAUGAAAAGCUUCAGAAGAGCUGCUGGGGUGAGCCCCAGGGUUCUUUUAAAGGAAGACAGCAAGCCACCUCCUGUCACUAGCCAACAUCCACCGGGCUCAGAACUGCAGGACUGCUACGCUGUACUCUCUGGUGUUUUUCCACUUGCUUGUCGAAGUUCCUGGAAGAGAAGCCUGCUUGGAGGAAAUGCACUGGAGUGAGAAGGUAUUUUAGCGCCAGGCCCCUGGACUCAGGAGUUAGAGGAACAGCUCUGCUAAUGUGAGCCGGGGGAGAACCACAGCCUACGCAGUCACUUUGGUUCCCUCUCGCUGGUGAGCCACUGUCUCCCCUUGACAGCAAUGGGGACUCUAAGCCAAUUUUCUCCCUGGUUUCUGGAAAGAGAAACUCAUCUAUAGGUUGUAAUUGCACUGAGAAUUCCAGUGGGGCAGUCAACACAGUCGCCAUCUUGUUGGAGUCACAAAAGAGGACUGGCUCAUCACGUUCUUUCCUGCAGAAGUCUGGGAACAACUGCUUCCUGGCCUGCAGAGGAUGGGGGCAAAGCCUCUCAAGGUGCCCAGCCCAGGGAGAGAGGUUUUCCUUUUUGUGCUUCUUUGAGUCUCUGUCAACUUUAACCUGAUUAGCUUUCUCCUCAGGGGAUUCAAACACAACACCCUGAGUUCUUGGCCUCUUGAGCCUCCUUUCUAACUGCCAAAGCACAUUUGUUUUCCUAGAGGAGGAACUCAUGUACUGCUGCACAGAGUGUGGAAUCAGAGGCAUAGCGAGCCUAGGACUCAAGCUGUCCUGAAAGAACUCUCCACAAGGCUUUUGAUGGACGAUGGGCACCACCUGACAAGGCCUCAGCGCUGCCACAAAAGCACGGAGCUCGGAGUAAGAUGAAUGGUCAGAGUACGGGACGGUGUAGAUGCUGGGGUGAGGGCUGCGCACUUUCCGGCUUGUGGGGAAAAUAGCAAUGGUAGGGUGACUCUGGUUCCACUGAAGCAUGGCAGAGUGGCAGAUCUCCGUAUGGUCCACAGCAUGGAUGCGCCCGGCUUCUUCCUCAACUGUGAACACGUCUGCCAGGCCCAGCAACUGUACCAACUCCAGGCGUUGAGGACUUAAUACCACCCAGGUCCGAAACUCAAGGGCUAGUUGCUCCAGCAGUGAUUCUUUUCCUAGACUAUAGAGUCCUAAAUUAUGUCCAAGGGGUUGGAGGAAAUAAGAGAAAGAAGAGAAUGAAGCUAUUAAGACUCUUGAUCAACCAAUGUUUAGCAAAAAUACAUAAUAUCUAUGUAGCAAUCCAAGAAGUUUAUCAAGGUGCAUUUAAGAUAUACAGCAGAUGCCUGUAUGGUGCACACAAAAUCCUUUUUUUUUUUUUCUUUUCAGUUCAACAAGAGACGGCAUCUACCAAGCAUCAAGCGCUGUGGAAACAGAUGAAGAAGGUUUCAUCUCUCCAAGGUACCAUCCAACUGCAGACUCAGAAACAAUGUAGUGAAGGGUGGUUUUUCACACACAGGUACAAGUGUCAUAAAAGGCACAGAAGAGCAGCAGCUGCCAGGUGAUGAAAUUAGGAAAAGUUUCUGUAAAACGACAGGUGACAGCUGGGCCAGGUCCACUUUGGGGGAUGGGUGGGGAAAAGUUUAAGUAUUUCUUUGGGGAGAAAAGAACAACACACUUCCAUCUAAUUAAAGAAACUCACCAUAC